GGGAUAGCUCAGUUGGU
RNAcentral lists this transfer RNA (17 nucleotides) under Koenigia sp. CL-2012. RNAcentral's name for it is "partial tRNA-Phe". The record is from RNAcentral. Lineage: Eukaryota; Viridiplantae; Streptophyta; Magnoliopsida; Caryophyllales; Polygonaceae.